RNAcentral lists this ribosomal RNA (917 nucleotides) under uncultured bacterium. RNAcentral's name for it is "bacterial SSU rRNA". It matches the Rfam family "Bacterial small subunit ribosomal RNA", at positions 45 to 931 of the family's 1533-position model. The record is from RNAcentral.
CGUUGCUUAUAAUGCAAGUCGGACGGACGAUACAGAGGUGGCAACACUUUUGUAAAGUCAGUGGCGAACGGGUGAGUAACGCGUAGGUAAUCUACCUUAGAGAUCAGAAUAACCUUCCAAAAGGAAGGCUAAUACUGAAUAUUUUAUAUUAACCAUAUGAUUAAUAUAAAAAAGGUAGCCGCAAGGCCUCCGCUUUAAGAUGAGCCUGCGUCCUAUUAGUUUGUUGGUAAGGUAAUGGCUUACCAAGGCUAUGAUGGGUAGCCGGCCUGAGAGGGUGACCGGCCACACUGGGACUGAGAUACGGCCCAGACUCCUACGGGAGGCAGCAGUAGGGAAUAUUGCGCAAUGGGCGAAAGCCUGACGCAGCGACACCGUGUGAAGGAUGAAGGUCUUCGGAUCGUAAACUUCUGUCAAUUGAAGACGAAGGUAACAGGGUUAAUAGCUCCUGUUACUGACGGUACUCAAUAAGGAAGUCUCGGCUAACUCCGUGCCAGCAGCCGCGGUAAGACGGAGGAGGCAAGCGUUGUCCGGAAUUAUUGGGCGUAAAGAGCGCGUAGGUGGUUUUCCAAGUCAUAUGUGAAAACUUCAGGCUCAACCUGAAGAUUGCAUAUGAAACUGGAUAACUUGAGUACAGCAGAGGAAAGUGGAAUUCCUGGUGUAGCGGUGAAAUGUGCAGAUAUCAGGAAGAACACCAGUGGCGAAGGCGGCUUUCUGGGCUGUUACUGACGCUGAGGCGCGAAAGCUAGGGGAGCGAACAGGAUUAGAUACCCUGGUAGUCCUAGCUGUAAACGAUGGACACUAGGUGUGGGAAGUUAUCGACGCUUUCUGUGCCGUAGCUACGCAUUAAGUGUCCCGCCUGGGGGAGUACGGCCGCAAGGCUAAACUCAAAGGGAAUUGACCGGGCCCCGGCACAAAGC